Molecule: ribosomal RNA, 520 nt
Filed under: uncultured bacterium
Lineage: Bacteria
Description: bacterial SSU rRNA
Rfam family: Bacterial small subunit ribosomal RNA
Source: RNAcentral
AGAGUUUGAUCCUGGCUCAGAUUGAACGCUGGCGGCAGGCCUAACACAUGCAAGUCGAGCGCGAAAGAUCUUCGGAUUGAGUAGAGCGGCGGACGGGUGAGUAACGCGUAGGAAUCUACCCAGUAGUGGGGGACAACUCGGGGAAACUCGAGCUAAUACCGCAUACGCCCUACGGGGGAAAGCGGGGGAUCUUCGGACCUCGCGCUAUUGGAGGAGCCUGCGUUGGAUUAGCUAGUUGGUGGGGUAAAGGCCUACCAAGGCGACGAUCCAUAGCUGGUCUGAGAGGAUGAUCAGCCACACCGGGACUGAGACACGGCCCGGACUCCUACGGGAGGCAGCAGUGGGGAAUAUUGCGCAAUGGGCGAAAGCCUGACGCAGCCAUGCCGCGUGUGUGAAGAAGGCCUUCGGGUUGUAAAGCACUUUCACUUGGGAGGAAAAGUUCGUAGCUAAUACCUGCGAACCUUGACGUUACCUUGAGAAGAAGCACCGGCUAACUCCGUGCCAGCCGCCGCGGUAAUUC